GUAAGGAAUAUUGCUCAAUGGGAGAAAUCCUGAAGCAGCAACGCCGCGUGGAGGAUGAAGGGUCUAUGACUUGUAAACUCCUGUAAAGAAGGAAAAAAUUCCCAUUUGAUGGGAGAUGAUGGUACUUCUGGAGUAAGCCCCGGCUAACUACGUGCCAGCAGCCGCGGUAAUACGUAGGGGGCAAGCGUUGUCCGGAUUUACUGGGUGUAAAGGGUGCUCAGGCGGAUUUGUAAGUCAGAGGUGAAAUCUUACAGCUUAACUGUGAAACUGCCUUUGAUACUGCAAGCCUAGAGUAUGGAAGAGAGUGAUGGAAUAUCUGGUGUAGCAGUGAAAUGCGUAGAUAUCAGAUAGAACACCAAUGGCGAAGGCAGCCACUUGGUCCAUUACUGACGCUAAAGCACGAAAGCGUGGGUAGCAAACA
Molecule: ribosomal RNA, 421 nt
Filed under: uncultured bacterium
Lineage: Bacteria
Description: bacterial SSU rRNA
Rfam family: Bacterial small subunit ribosomal RNA
Source: RNAcentral